CCCGGGUGCUGAUUCAGCUGGAAUGGAAGCAUCCAUUUCCUAAGCAGUCAGCCAGAGUUGAGCUUAAGGAGGCAAUACCCUUCUGGAUGGCCGUGAGUACCACAAGGGUAAAUAACCGACAUGGAUUUCAGGACAGUCUUACUUCACAUAGCAGACAUGUCCACUGGGCUCACAUUGGAUGGAGGAAAAUCUCGAUCUGUUUAAAGGAAGCUACAGGAAGCCAGCUGGCAAGAUGAGUGUUGUAAUGUGAGCAAACAUCCCUUAGCCAUCCAGCAGGUAUGAAGUUGUGUUGGUUUGGUUUGCUUAAAUUGGGAGCCACAUCUGAGAAGAAAAUCCAUUGUUCAGAAAGGACGCACCAUUGUAAAGAAUAUCAUGUGGACAAAGUUUUGGUGCUUUUUAGGAAGCAGUUUAGUGCUCUGGCUAAAUGAGGAUUAAGCAGAAAAGACUUUUUGUUUCAACUCCUGUUGCUGGAAAUCUCUCCAAAGAGUUCCCAUUCAAUCUCCUGCCUGGGUAC
RNAcentral lists this long non-coding RNA (514 nucleotides) under Pan troglodytes (chimpanzee). RNAcentral's name for it is "long non-coding RNA NONPTRT007778". Lineage: Eukaryota; Metazoa; Chordata; Mammalia; Primates; Hominidae. The record is from RNAcentral.